This 167-nucleotide ribosomal RNA is filed under the name uncultured bacterium. Its description in RNAcentral is "partial 16S ribosomal RNA". It matches the Rfam family "Bacterial small subunit ribosomal RNA", at positions 359 to 529 of the family's 1533-position model. The record is from RNAcentral.
CAUUCUCAGGGCGACUGCCUACGGAGCCACGCCGCGUGGAUAAGAAGGCCGACAGGUUGUAAGCCCUUUUCUGGGGAAGAAUAACUGUGGGAGGGAAUGCCCGCGUGAUGACAUGACCCGGCGAAUAAGCCCCGGCCAACUUCGUGCCAGCAGCCGCGGUAAAUAAA